AUAAACCUAUAAUGGCUAGUUAUCCUUGUCUGAAAAUCACCUGAGGGUGAAUAGUCAUUUCUGAGGCUUGA
Molecule: small nucleolar RNA, 71 nt
Filed under: Tupaia belangeri (northern tree shrew)
Lineage: Eukaryota; Metazoa; Chordata; Mammalia; Scandentia; Tupaiidae
Description: Small nucleolar RNA R38 (ENSTBEG00000021212.1)
Source: RNAcentral